AUUGAACGCUGGCGGCAUGCCUUACACAUGCAAGUCGAACGGCAGCACGGGUGCUUGCACCUGGUGGCGAGUGGCGAACGGGUGAGUAAUACAUCGGAACAUGUCCUGUAGUGGGGUAUAGCCCGGCGAAAGCCGGAUUAAUACCGCAUACGAUCCACGGAUGAAAGCGGGGGACCUUCGGGCCUCGCGCUAUAGGGUUGGCCGAUGGCUGAUUAGCUAGUUGGUGGGGUAAAGGCCUACCAAGGCGACGAUCAGUAGCUGGUCUGAGAGGACGACCAGCCACACUGGGACUGAGACACGGCCCAGACUCCUACGGGAGGCAGCAGUGGGGAAUUUUGGACAAUGGGCGAAAGCCUGAUCCAGCAAUGCCGCGUGUGUGAAGAAGGCCUUCGGGUUGUAAAGCACUUUUGUCCGGAAAGAAAUCCUUGACUCUAAUACAGUCGGGGGAUGACGGUACCGGAAGAAUAAGCACCGGCUAACUACGUG
This 486-nucleotide ribosomal RNA is filed under the name uncultured bacterium. RNAcentral describes it as "partial 16S ribosomal RNA". It matches the Rfam family "Bacterial small subunit ribosomal RNA", at positions 30 to 507 of the family's 1533-position model. The record is from RNAcentral.